Molecule: ribosomal RNA, 379 nt
Filed under: uncultured Pseudobdellovibrionaceae bacterium
Lineage: Bacteria; Pseudomonadati; Bdellovibrionota; Bdellovibrionia; Bdellovibrionales; Pseudobdellovibrionaceae
Description: bacterial SSU rRNA
Rfam family: Bacterial small subunit ribosomal RNA
Source: RNAcentral
AUACAGGGGGUGCAAGCGUUGCUCGGAAUCACUGGGCGUAAAGCGUGCGCAGGCGGAACGUUAAGUCGGGUGUGAAAUCCCGGGGCUCAACCCCGGAACUGCAUUCGAAACUGGCGAUCUUGAGUGCGGCAGAGGUGAGUGGAAUUCCUGGUGUAGAGGUGAAAUUCGUAGAUAUCAGGAGGAACACCGGUGGCGAAAGCGACUCACUGGGCCGACACUGACGCUCAUGCACGAAAGCGUGGGGAGCAAACAGGAUUAGAUACCCUGGUAGUCCACGCCGUAAACGAUGGAUGCUAGCUGCUGGGAAGCCUUAUCUUUUCUCGGUGGCGCAGCUAACGCGUUAAGCAUCCCGCCUGGGAAGUACGGUCGCAAGACUAAA